This 489-nucleotide long non-coding RNA is filed under the name Setaria italica (foxtail millet). Its description in RNAcentral is "long non-coding RNA (SITA_LNC005222)". The record is from RNAcentral. Lineage: Eukaryota; Viridiplantae; Streptophyta; Magnoliopsida; Poales; Poaceae.
GGUCACGGUUUCGCCAGUGCCUUCAAUCACUUCUGAGGGUUCAGGCUUCUCUUCAACAUCAACUGUUGAGCUUGCUUCAGCCGCUGAUGAGGACGCAGUCUCUUCCACAACUAGCUCCGCUUCAUCAGGUACCUAGAGCAAAGAAAUAAAUAAGUUUUAUGUAGAACCAGAGAAAUAACCAAUGGUUUAUUCCUUGAUUGGUGUAGGUGUAGGUGGGACUAAGAGCUAACUUUUCAGUAGCCUAAGAACCAGCACACAGCUCCCUAACUAACAAUGCACGAGGCCUUGCACAAUGCUGAUACCAUGAGCACAAAACCUAUGGUUCUACAUAUGGGCAAGUGUAUCAUGAAGGCAGAGAAGGGGACAUUCGUACCUGCAGUUCUUCAUCAGGCUGCACUGGAGUGUUCACUGCAGGCUCUGUGGAGGAAAGCAAGUCAUCGCUGCCACCUCCAGGCACUAGCACCUUCCCAGGAGCACCCGCGCAGCUCA